Molecule: long non-coding RNA, 252 nt
Organism: Carassius auratus (goldfish)
Lineage: Eukaryota; Metazoa; Chordata; Actinopteri; Cypriniformes; Cyprinidae
Exons: 3
Source: RefSeq, a predicted model, not a curated record
UCCUCACUCUUUCACUACAGCUCCACUAGGACUUACUACUUUCUCUUAAAGCUCAGCAAACCACUGCAGCUGAUCUUUUUGUGUUUCUUUCCUAUUACACUAGCAAAUUUGUCAUGGCAUUUUUACCCAGAGCCCUUCUUCUGCUGCUGCUUGCAGAAGUUUGUAUUCAACUGAGUGGAGCUGAAGAACCAGAUGUGACACUGUUUGAAUCAAUUUGAACAGAUAUGUCCCAAAAGAAGAAAUUGAAGAGUU